RNAcentral lists this transfer RNA (80 nucleotides) under Klebsiella phage vB_KpM_FBKp24. RNAcentral's name for it is "tRNA-OTHER". Lineage: Duplodnaviria; Heunggongvirae; Uroviricota; Caudoviricetes; Chimalliviridae. The record is from RNAcentral.
GUAAAAUAGCGGACUGAACUUUCUUUCUUUUACGGAAAGAAUUCUAGAGGUCGCGGAUUCGAAUUCCGCUCUGCCUACCA